This 500-nucleotide ribosomal RNA is filed under the name uncultured bacterium. Its description in RNAcentral is "partial 16S ribosomal RNA". It matches the Rfam family "Bacterial small subunit ribosomal RNA", at positions 30 to 523 of the family's 1533-position model. The record is from RNAcentral.
AUUGAACGCUGGCGGCAUGCCUUACACAUGCAAGUCGAACGGCAGCACGGGAGCAAUCCUGGUGGCGAGUGGCGAACGGGUGAGUAAAGUAUCGGAACGUGCCCAGUCGUGGGGGAUAACGUAGCGAAAGUUACGCUAAUACCGCAUACGAUCUACGGAUGAAAGCGGGGGAUCGCAAGACCUCGUGCGAUUGGAGCGGCUGAUAUCAGAUUAGGUAGUUGGUGGGGUAAAGGCUCACCAAGCCGACGAUCUGUAGCUGGUCUGAGAGGACGACCAGCCACACUGGGACUGAGACACGGCCCAGACUCCUACGGGAGGCAGCAGUGGGGAAUUUUGGACAAUGGGCGCAAGCCUGAUCCAGCCAUGCCGCGUGCAGGAUGAAGGCCUUCGGGUCGUAAACUGCUUUUGUACGGAACGAAAAGGUUUGGCCUAAUAAGCUGGACCCAUGACGGUACCGUAAGAAUAAGCACCGGCUAACUACGUGCCAGCCGCCGCCGUAA